UACGUAGGCAGCGAGCGUUGUUCGGAAUUACUGGGCGUAAAGAGUGUGUAGGCGGUGCUCUAAGUUCGGUGUGAAAUCUCCCGGCUCAACUGGGAGGGUGCGCUGAAAACUGGGGUGCUCGAGGGUGGGAGAGGUAAGCGGAAUUCCUGGUGUAGCGGUGAAAUGCGUAGAUAUCAGGAGGAACACCUGUGGUGUAGACAGCUUACUGGACCACUUCUGACGCUGAGACACGAAAGCGUGGGUAGCAAACAGG
RNAcentral lists this ribosomal RNA (253 nucleotides) under uncultured bacterium. RNAcentral describes it as "partial 16S ribosomal RNA". It matches the Rfam family "Bacterial small subunit ribosomal RNA", at positions 524 to 776 of the family's 1533-position model. The record is from RNAcentral.